This 117-nucleotide non-coding RNA is filed under the name Anophryoides haemophila. Lineage: Eukaryota; Ciliophora; Oligohymenophorea; Philasterida; Glauconematidae. The record is from RNAcentral.
CCAGGCGUGGUGGCUCACGCCUGUAAUCCCAGCACUUUGGGAGGCCGAGGUGGGCGGAUCACGAGGUCAGGAGAUCGAGACCAUCCUGGCUAACACGGUGAAACCCCGUCUCUACUA